Myotis daubentonii (Daubenton's bat) is the source of this 2593-nucleotide long non-coding RNA. RefSeq lists it as uncharacterized. The record is from RefSeq and is a predicted model, not a curated record. Lineage: Eukaryota; Metazoa; Chordata; Mammalia; Chiroptera; Vespertilionidae. The transcript is spliced from 2 exons.
AUUUUAAAAAAAUAAGAGGGAAAGGAAGGGCAGAAGGAAGGAAAGGGUCUCUAUGUGGAGUGUGCGGGUUCGGGUUUUUAUCUCAGGUAUAUGGCGUGCAACUUGACCUGUCAGCAGACGCCCAGGUAGAGGCAGCCUCGGGGGAGGGAAGCGUCACUUGGCCACCCAUUUUUAUAGCCAGCCGCUGGCGGUAAACCUUCUCUGAAGCCUCCAAGACUGCGCCCCCUGCUGUGAACUCGGAGCCCAGAGCCCAGGUUUAACCUUGCACACCCCCUCCCCCCCCCCCCCCCCAAGCCCACUGUCACUGCGUCCAUGGCGGUCUUUGCUGACUUUUAAAGCUGCCGGCUCUUGGGAAGGACAAAUACCAUACCAUAUGAUUUCACUUGUAUGCGGAAUCUAAAGAACAAAAUAAACAAACAAAACUGAAUCAGACUCAUAGAUACAGAGAACGGAUUUAUGGUUGCCAGAGAGGCGGGGGAUUGGGAGGUGGGUGAAAGGGGUAAAAGGAUUAAGUACAAAUUGGCAGUUACAAAGUAGUCAUGGGGUGUAAAGUGCAGCACAGGGAAUGUAGUCCAUGAUAUUGAGAUAACAGUGUAUGGUGCCAUGUGGGCACUGGAACUAUCAUGGGAACACUGAAAAGUAGAUGAUGUCUAACCACUGUGCUGUAUGCCUGAAACUAAUACAAAAUAAUAGUGUUAACUGUAAUUGAAAAUUUUUUUAAAAAAAAAAAUUUAAACUGCCAAAUCCUAAAGCUCCAGCAGUCAAAAUGAAACUGGGGGCUGGACACAUUUCCACACCUUCUGUUACUUCUGUAGUCCCCAUCUUAUGACAUCAUUUUAGAAGCCUUUUGCCCUACAAGACCAGAGAGGGAAAACUCAGAGCAGCGCGUAGGACCCAAAGAAUUGUGACCUAAGUAAUCCCUACAGAGCAAGGUUUGCAUAAAAGCGAAGGAACUGAAGGCGUGCAGAGGGGUGUGUGCCAACUUGUACAACUGGCCAAAAUUUUAAUUUCAGUUCAAGAAUGUCCUACAGUUCAAAAAAGAUUUUGUUUGAGACAUAAUCACAUAAUGGAAGAUGAAAGAAGCACAAGCUUCAUAUGCAAAUGUUUGUGUUUGGAAAGCCUGGAGGAUAGAGAACAGAAUGUUAGACCCAGAAUCCAGGAAAUGCCAGCGCAAAGCCUGUACAUGUUGAGAUAAACUAGAUCCAGUCAUUGCCCCACCAUACAGCUGACAGAUCUCGCUUUACUUUUGUGUUCUCCUUUGGAAAAGGUUACUUAGCAACUUAGAUAUGCCUGUUAUAUGAUGGAAUGCCCCCUUUGUCUAUACGCAUAUUACCAUUGGGGACCUCCAAGACAUUGGACAUAUGAACUACUUAAAAACUUAAGUUGGAACAAGACGAUGACCCUGGAAAUGAAGGUUUCUGUUUAUCAAAGAGAUCCAUGGAUUACAUUCUAUUGUUCAUCGUAUUGCACAGUCCUGUGCCAUAUAUCUAAUGGAUGUUCAACAAUUAUUGAUCAAAGUCAUGAAUGUUUUUCUUUGUUUCCUCUAGACACAACCUAUCUGUGGACAACAUAUUAUAAUACAAGUAGGUGAUUGUUUGUGCUAAUGGCUAAUGAACAGAUUUUCUUACUGGCAGCUCUAUUCUUGGACCAAAGACAGGGACAUCCAGAGGGGAGAGCAAGCUCAUUUUUUCUAUUCUCACCCCUGCUGCAACACAGCCCACCAACCCAAGGGCCAUCACCCACCAGGCACCAUUCAUGUCUAUUUCUGAUAUAGCUUUUGUUCUUUCCCAAGAGCCUUGUUAAAGUUUAUGUUGCGUUAGAUGUUUUCAUGUUGCUCCACUUCUAAGUAUCCACCCAUUUCCUCCACCUAAUUGCUGAAAGCAUCAGCCUUCAUUUUCUCCCUGUGUUCUUUUCAUCAGGACUAGGUCAGCUCGUAUCCAAUAAGAUACAGGAUUUGGACACAUGAAACGAAUUGUGUUGCCAUCCACCUGACAAUGUUCUUAUAAAGCAAGUAGACAUAAAUGUUACAAAGGCUUUAAGUAUAACCACUUAUUCAAACUCAGUGGGACAUACUGGCAGUCACUUAACUCAUUCAGCAAAUAUUCACCGAGCAGCUCCUAUGUGCCAAGAACUAUGAAAAGGGGUAAAUUUUCAAGAGUGACAAGAAAUUGUGUCUGCCCUCAAGAACUGUGACCUUUAUAAACAUCCUUUAGAAAAUGCCAGCAGAUUUUGGUAAGUCAUUGAGUAGGUAUUAAGGAAAAAAAUUAUAUUAAAUAUUUUAUGAAUUAUGUAGUCUAGUUGCACCAUGCUUAAAGAUUGGUUCUAAAGUCAGAAUUAAGGUGAUUUUGAAUUACCCUUUAAUUAGAAUCUCAUCAAGAACUGUCACAUGCUCAUACUCUUAAAGGUAUGAUGCUGCUGAAACAGAGAAGAGCAGAUGAACAACUCCCUCUCAUGCUCUCACCAGGAGCUACACCCACUCACAGGCAGUCAGAAUCUCCUCAGCUACUCAAAUGGUUAUUUUCUGAACAAAAUAUUACAGCCUAAAUUAAAUUUGACUAUAUUUCAACUUCGCAAUAAAAGUGAAGCUCCUGAA